UUGUUAGGCUUUUUCCAUUUUUCCUUGAUGGGUUAAUUUUUCGUUAAACAAUGUGGCCAUGUAUGUAUCACAGAUUCACAAUAUGUAAAUGUUUAUGAAAGAUUCAAGAUUUGAUCACAAAUGAUACCUAAAACAAUACUAUACCAAAGGAGUAUACAUCGGAUUUUUUUUUUGUUAAAAGUCCUUCCUUAAUUGGAACUAACAAUUGAAUUUGGUGUAUACCCUUUGAUAUAAUAUCAGUUUGGUAUUUUCUGAAAUUGGGGGACCAGUGUAAUUAAUUGUAUUGUAGCGACGAGUCUAAUUUAGGCUGGUUAUUGUACGAAACUUAAUCAUAACCCAGUUUAACUAGUUUAAUACCUGUCCAUCGGACGGGUACUUUGACAUCAAAAAGACAUAAUUAUAUUUUUCUUUGCAUUCUAAACAAAAAAGAUUAUUAGACCAUGUGUAGUGGUUAAGUCAAAUAAUGCCCCCACCAUGGGGCGUUUUGCGACACGUGACAGUCCAGUCCAGUCAGCAUGGGGCAUUAUUGCAAAAGUGACGUAGUGCGAAUAAUGCCCACCAUGGGGCGUUUUGCGACACGUGACAGUCCGUUUUUUUUUUUAAUUUAAAACAUAAAAAAUUUUAUUAAUUUAAAAUAAAAAUUACUUUAUUAAUUUAAAAUAAAAAUUACACUACUUGAAAUAAAAAAAAAACCGAAAAAAAAAACAGAAAAUAAAAAAACCGAGUAAGCCGGCUUGUUGUUGUGAAGGUUGCGACCUGCCGGUUUAACCAUAGCCGAAGGUGGGAGGCAUGAACGGAGUGGCGCCACUUAAGUAAGCCGUGUACGUUAAAACACUCGGGUCCAAGUCUUGAAGGUUAUACGGGUGUUGCGGUUAGGUUGUGUUCGGGUUCAUGGGUCUUGCGGGGACACCAAAGGGAGGUCGGAAUGGAUGCAUAUUUGUAUAAAAUAUAGAAGUAGGAGAGAGUGUGAUUUUUUUUUUUUAUAAAAAAUAGGAAGAAGUGGGUAUUAUUUAUAUAGUGGGUAAAUUUUGGAAUUAAAAAAAAAUUAUUAAACAAUUGACCGUUGUCAACGGUCAUCUCUUGGCCCAAAGCAAUUUUCAGCGUUUUUUUUUAAAACGCCAAGUUCAAUUUUUUUUUUUCAAAAAUCACGCUAAAUAACGCCUACCGUAAUGGGGGGGGGGGGUGUUUUUUUUCAUUUUUUUUUUAAAAAUACCGCCCCACUACGGGUGGUUUUAGUUAAAAAAAGAUAUGGUAUGUUUCAUCAAGUUUUCAAUGUUACCCAUUCUACUCGUAAGAGAUAAAAGGUUACACUGCCAACCCAUCAUAAUAACCGAGUCAAAAUUGUCGUUUCUAAUUGAGAGACACUAGUCGUUUACCCGCGCGAUGCGGCGGGAAACAUAUCACUUAGGUUGGUGAGUUUAGGGCUAUGUACAGAGUGGUUCGGUUUGAAACAUAUCACUUAGGUUGGUGAGUAGGGACCCGUGCGUUUCGACGGAGUUGACGAUUUGCAUGUCAUGAAUGGCUUAAAAGAAGUGGUAAUUAACAAUU
RNAcentral lists this long non-coding RNA (1548 nucleotides) under Helianthus annuus (common sunflower). Its description in RNAcentral is "hypothetical non coding rna". Lineage: Eukaryota; Viridiplantae; Streptophyta; Magnoliopsida; Asterales; Asteraceae. The record is from RNAcentral.